This 427-nucleotide ribosomal RNA is filed under the name uncultured Azovibrio sp. RNAcentral describes it as "bacterial SSU rRNA". It matches the Rfam family "Bacterial small subunit ribosomal RNA", at positions 355 to 774 of the family's 1533-position model. Lineage: Bacteria; Pseudomonadati; Pseudomonadota; Betaproteobacteria; Rhodocyclales; Rhodocyclaceae. The record is from RNAcentral.
UGGGGAAUUUUGGACAAUGGGGGCAACCCUGAUCCAGCCAUGCCGCGUGCGGGAAGAAGGCCUUCGGGUUGUAAACCGCUUUUGUCAGGGAAGAAACGCUUCGAGCUAAUACCUCGAGGUAAUGACGGUACCUGAAGAAUAAGCACCGGCUAACUACGUGCCAGCAGCCGCGGUAAUACGUAGGGUGCAAGCGUUAAUCGGAAUUACUGGGCGUAAAGCGUGCGCAGGCGGUCGUGCAAGACAGAUGUGAAAUCCCCGGGCUCAACCUGGGAACUGCAUUUGUGACUGCACGGCUGGAGUGCGGCAGAGGGGGAUGGAAUUCCGCGUGUAGCAGUGAAAUGCGUAGAUAUGCGGAGGAACACCGAUGGCGAAGGCAAUCCCCUGGGCCUGCACUGACGCUCAUGCACGAAAGCGUGGGGAGCAAACA